AGAGUUUGAUCAUGGCUCAGGAUGAACGCUAGCGACAGGCUUAACACAUGCAAGUCGAGGGGCAGCAUGAUUUGUAGCAAUACAGAUUGAUGGCGACCGGCGCACGGGUGAGUAACGCGUAUGCAACUUACCUAUCAGAGGGGGAUAGCCCGGCGAAAGUCGGAUUAAUACCCCAUAAAACAGGGGUCCCGCAUGGGAAUAUUUGUUAAAGAUUCAUCGCUGAUAGAUAGGCAUGCGUUCCAUUAGGCAGUUGGCGGGGUAACGGCCCACCAAACCGACGAUGGAUAGGGGUUCUGAGAGGAAGGUCCCCCACAUUGGUACUGAGACACGGACCAAACUCCUACGGGAGGCAGCAGUGAGGAAUAUUGGUCAAUGGCCGAGAGGCUGAACCAGCCAAGUCGCGUGAAGGAAGAAGGAUCUAUGGUUUGUAAACUUCUUUUAUAGGGGAAUAAGUGGAGGACGUGUCCUUUUUGUAUGUACCCUAUGAAUAAGCAUCGGCUAACUCCGUGCCAGCAGCCGCGGUAUACGGAGAUGC
This 535-nucleotide ribosomal RNA is filed under the name uncultured bacterium. RNAcentral describes it as "bacterial SSU rRNA". It matches the Rfam family "Bacterial small subunit ribosomal RNA", at positions 8 to 535 of the family's 1533-position model. The record is from RNAcentral.